Molecule: transfer RNA, 112 nt
Filed under: Alkaliphilus oremlandii OhILAs
Lineage: Bacteria; Bacillati; Bacillota; Clostridia; Peptostreptococcales; Natronincolaceae
Description: tRNA-Und (NNN) (tRNA-Und-NNN-1-1)
Source: RNAcentral
GUAGAUUUCAAUGGUUAUAUAAAAGGCAUAAAUCCAUAUAAAGGCGAAAAAAGGCCUCUUCCCUACUUUGGUAAGGAAGAGGUCGGCGGUUCAAUUCCGCUCAUCAGCUCCA